UGGGGAAUUUUGGGCAAUGGGGGCAACCCUGACCCAGCAACGCCGCGUGGAGGAAGAAGACCUUCGGGUCGUAAACUCCUGUCCGGAGGGACGAAGGAAGUGACGGUACCUCUGGAGGAAGCCCCGGCUAACUCCGUGCCAGCAGCCGCGGUAAUACGGGGGGGGCAAGCGUUGUUCGGAAUUACUGGGCGUAAAGGGCGCGUAGGCGGCUUCGGAAGUCAUGGGUGAAAGGCCUCGGCUCAACCGAGGAAUUGCCUGUGAAACCACGGAGCUGGAGUGCUGGAGAGGAAAGCGGAAUUCCCAGUGUAGCGGUGAAAUGCGUAGAUAUUGGGAGGAACAUCUGAGGCGAAGGCGGCUUUCUGGACAGACACUGACGCUGAGGCGCGAAAGCCAGGGGAGCAAACGGG
RNAcentral lists this ribosomal RNA (407 nucleotides) under uncultured bacterium. Its description in RNAcentral is "bacterial SSU rRNA". It matches the Rfam family "Bacterial small subunit ribosomal RNA", at positions 355 to 776 of the family's 1533-position model. The record is from RNAcentral.